Molecule: long non-coding RNA, 229 nt
Organism: Hyalella azteca
Lineage: Eukaryota; Metazoa; Arthropoda; Malacostraca; Amphipoda; Hyalellidae
Exons: 3
Source: RefSeq, a predicted model, not a curated record
UGACAGGAUUCAUUAAAGUGAAGUUGAAGGAGCUGAAUCUUCAUGACCGUCAUUAGUGCACGCAGAGCAGCGCUGUCGUACCAUCAGCAAAUGCGAGGUGUCGAGCCUCGUGGACGGACUGGUGACUCUUCUCGCUUCCCACUACACCACAGACGACGAAAACCUGAAUGCAGACAGCGCAGCUGUGAUAUCUGAAGAAGUACUCUACGAGCCAAUAUUCUCCAUCCAC